Molecule: transfer RNA, 74 nt
Filed under: Trentepohlia odorata
Lineage: Eukaryota; Viridiplantae; Chlorophyta; Ulvophyceae; Trentepohliales; Trentepohliaceae
Description: tRNA-Met
Rfam family: tRNA
About the family: Transfer RNA (tRNA) molecules are approximately 80 nucleotides in length. Their secondary structure includes four short double-helical elements and three loops (D, anti-codon, and T loops).
Source: RNAcentral
UGCGGGAUUUAGGAGUCUGGUCCCUAGAGAGGCUCAUAAUCUCUUUUACGUUGGUUCAAAUCCAACUCCCGCAC